UACGGGGGGAGCAAGCGUUGUUCGGAUUUACUGGGCGUAAAGGGCGCGUAGGCGGUCGUGACAAGUCACUUGUGAAAUCUCCGGGCUUAACCCGGAGCGGUCAAGUGAUACUGUCGGACUAGAGUACAGAAGGGGCAACUGGAAUUCUCGGUGUAGCGGUGAAAUGCGUAGAUAUCAGGAGGAACACCGGUGGCGAAGGCGGGUCUCUGGGCCGUAACUGACGCUGAGGAGCGAAAGCAUGGGGAGCGAACAGG
This 254-nucleotide ribosomal RNA is filed under the name uncultured bacterium. RNAcentral describes it as "partial 16S ribosomal RNA". It matches the Rfam family "Bacterial small subunit ribosomal RNA", at positions 524 to 776 of the family's 1533-position model. The record is from RNAcentral.